RNAcentral lists this ribosomal RNA (508 nucleotides) under uncultured bacterium. RNAcentral's name for it is "partial 16S ribosomal RNA". It matches the Rfam family "Bacterial small subunit ribosomal RNA", at positions 28 to 507 of the family's 1533-position model. The record is from RNAcentral.
GACGAACGCUGGCGGCGUGCCUAAUACAUGCAAGUCGAACGCUUCUUUCCUCCCGAGUGCUUGCACUCAAUUGGAAGGAGGAGUGGCGGACGGGUGAGUAACCCGUGUGUAACCUACCCAUCAGCGGGGGAUAACACUUGGAAACAGGUGCUAAUACCGCAUAACAGUUUAUGCCGCAUGGCAUAAGAGUGAAAGGCGCUUUCGGGUGUCGCUGAUGGCUGGACCCGCGGUGCAUUAGCUAGUUGGUGAGGUAACGGCUCACCAAGGCCACGAUGCAUAGCCGACCUGAGAGGGUGAUCGGCCACACUGGGACUGAGACACGGCCCAGACUCCUACGGGAGGCAGCAGUAGGGAAUCUUCGGCAAUGGACGAAAGUCUGACCGAGCAACGCCGCGUGAGUGAAGAAGGUUUUCGGAUCGUAAAACUCUGUUGUUAGAGAAGAACAAGGACGUUAGUAACUGAACGUCCCCUGACGGUAUCUAACCAGAAAGCCACGGCUAACUACGUG